AAUUCUCAAAAUCCUUUUCUUUGACUGGAAUAGGAAUUUUGGACUUGGAGGUUCAAUGCCCGCUUUCGCCUUUGAAAGCGAGCUCCUCUCAAAUGAAUUAGUGGGGUCCGCUUUGCUGAGCCUUGACGUGAUAAAAUGUUUCUACGUUUUGGAUCUGGCACUGUUUUCUCUGCUCCCAACUGUCCCAUGGACAACGAUGGGGCUUCGGUCGCUGCCAUUUUACGGCGGAAGGCUGAACCCAUGAAGAA
Molecule: unclassified non-coding RNA, 248 nt
Filed under: uncultured Russula
Lineage: Eukaryota; Fungi; Basidiomycota; Agaricomycetes; Russulales; Russulaceae
Description: sequence contains ITS2
Source: RNAcentral